RNAcentral lists this ribosomal RNA (497 nucleotides) under uncultured bacterium. RNAcentral describes it as "partial 16S ribosomal RNA". It matches the Rfam family "Bacterial small subunit ribosomal RNA", at positions 28 to 507 of the family's 1533-position model. The record is from RNAcentral.
GAUGAACGCUGGCGGCGUGCCUAAUACAUGCAAGUCGAGCGAACAGACGAGGAGCUUGCUCCUCUGACGUUAGCGGCGGACGGGUGAGUAACACGUGGAUAACCUACCUAUAAGACUGGGAUAACUUCGGGAAACCGGAGCUAAUACCGGAUAAUAUAUUGAACCGCAUGGUUCAAUAGUGAAAGACGGUUUUGCUGUCACUUAUAGAUGGAUCCGCGCCGCAUUAGCUAGUUGGUAAGGUAACGGCUUACCAAGGCAACGAUGCGUAGCCGACCUGAGAGGGUGAUCGGCCACACUGGAACUGAGACACGGUCCAGACUCCUACGGGAGGCAGCAGUAGGGAAUCUUCCGCAAUGGGCGAAAGCUUGACUGAGCAACGCCGCGUGAGUGAUGAAGGUCUUCGGAUCGUAAAACUCUGUUAUUAGGGAAGAACAAAUGUGUAAGUAACUAUGCACGUCUUGACGGUACCUAAUCAGAAAGCCACGGCUAACUACGUG